Molecule: transfer RNA, 69 nt
Filed under: Marmota monax (woodchuck)
Lineage: Eukaryota; Metazoa; Chordata; Mammalia; Rodentia; Sciuridae
Rfam family: tRNA
About the family: Transfer RNA (tRNA) molecules are approximately 80 nucleotides in length. Their secondary structure includes four short double-helical elements and three loops (D, anti-codon, and T loops).
Source: Rfam by way of RNAcentral
GGGGCUGUAGCUCAGUGGCAGAGUGCUUGCCUUGCAAGUGUGAGGAACUAGGUUCAGUCCUCAGCACCA